AAAACAGAGCCAGUCUUUUUGUGUCGAAGGUCAGUGCUUCUUCCUCCUCCGCUCCAUCCUCUGCAAUCUCCGCUCCAACUGAUCCACCCGCUGCACCAAUCCGCUCAUCAGUUCGCACUGCUGCGCGCUCCUCUCACAUAGCUCCCCCAACAUCCUCCUCAACGCCUCUGUCUCUGCCGAGGCCUUUGCCAUCGCCUCCUUAAUCCGCACUAUCAUCUCGUCUCCGCCCACAGGUGUUAGAUCUGCCAUCGCCGGGGCUUCAAUUGAUUCUUCGAUUCCCCAGCUUUCCCCGUCGAUUUCUUCAUCACCCUCCUUUAAUACUUCCUCAACCAUGGAAUCCCCCUUUUGUCGUUCUACUACCUCAAUUUCCUCUGUGGCGAUCAGACUAUCAUCCAUCACCUGAUCCCCGCCAUCGUCGGCAGUUGCCUUGUUCUCAUCGGAAUCCGG
RNAcentral lists this unclassified non-coding RNA (447 nucleotides) under Hevea brasiliensis (rubber tree). Lineage: Eukaryota; Viridiplantae; Streptophyta; Magnoliopsida; Malpighiales; Euphorbiaceae. The record is from RNAcentral.